AAGCUGCCUUUUGAAGGGC
Molecule: microRNA, 19 nt
Filed under: Dinoponera quadriceps
Lineage: Eukaryota; Metazoa; Arthropoda; Insecta; Hymenoptera; Formicidae
Description: dqu-miR-980-3p
Gene: dqu-miR-980-3p
Source: miRBase by way of RNAcentral